GCAGAAUGUUGACCAAUGGUUUAUAAUUAAAACUUAAUAUGGCUGGCUGUAAGAAUAAAGAGAAGUUUGAAGGAAUAAAUAUUUAGAGCGUCAUUUCAAUUAAAGCGGCUGCUACAGUUGCCGAAAUAAGAAAAGAAAUAAUGACUUUAUUAAAAUACGCACUCGAAAGAUGGAAUGGUGGUGGUCGGCGCGUAAAAGGCAAUUUAGCAUAUGUAUAACAUUCAUACUUUUUCCUAUUUGUUCUGGAACUAUUGUUAAAUAAAAAAUUUUUUUUUUAAAUUUCUCUAUUUGCAUUGCAUAUAAAGCUCCUUGAAGCAAUUUAGUGGUAUUUGAUUAAUUUACGUGAAAUAUAAUAUUCUUUGCGCAAA
Non-coding RNA from Hydra vulgaris (swiftwater hydra), 368 nucleotides. Lineage: Eukaryota; Metazoa; Cnidaria; Hydrozoa; Anthoathecata; Hydridae. The record is from RefSeq and is a predicted model, not a curated record.